RNAcentral lists this ribosomal RNA (775 nucleotides) under uncultured bacterium. Its description in RNAcentral is "bacterial SSU rRNA". It matches the Rfam family "Bacterial small subunit ribosomal RNA", at positions 8 to 796 of the family's 1533-position model. The record is from RNAcentral.
AGAGUUUGAUCAUGGCUCAGAAUCAACGCUGGCGGCGUGCCUCAGACAUGCAAGUCGAACGAUUAAAGCUCUCUUCGGAGAGUGUAUAGAGUGGCGCACGGGUGAGUAACACGUAAGUAAUCUACCUUUGAGUGGGGAAUAACAGUCGGAAACGACUGCUAAUACCGCAUAACGCAGCGGCACCGCAAGGUGACAGUUGUUAAAGGAGCAAUUCGCUUAAAGAGGAGCUUGCGGCAGAUUAGCUUGUUGGUAAGGUAACGGCUUACCAAGGCUACGAUCUGUAUCCGGUCUAAGAGGACGGUCGGACACACUGACACUGAAUAACGGGUCAGACUCCUACGGGAGGCAGCAGUCGGGAAUUUUGGGCAAUGGGCGAAAGCCUGACCCAGCAACGCCGCGUGAAGGAUGAAGUAUUUCGGUAUGUAAACUUCGAAAGAAUAGGAAGAAUUAAUGACGGUACUAUUUAUAAGGUCCGGCUAACUACGUGCCAGCAGCCGCGGUAAUACGUAGGGACCAAGCGUUGUUCGGAUUUACUGGGCGUAAAGGGCGCGUAGGCGGCGCGGUAAGUCACUUGUGAAAUCUCUGAGCUUAACUCAGAACGGCCAAGUGAUACUGCAGUGCUAGAGUGCAGAAAGGGCAAUCGGAAUUCUUGGUGUAGCGGUGAAAUGCAGAUAUCAAGAGGAACACCUGAGGCGAAGGCGGGUUGCUAGGCUGACACUGACGCUGAUAGCGCGAAAGCCAGGGGAGCAAACGGGAUUAGAUACCCUCGUAGUCC